CACGUUAAAACACCAGUUCUCGUACGAUCACCGAAGUUAAGAAACGUCGAAUCUGGUCAGUAACUAGAUGGGUGACCGCUUGGGAAUACCAGGCGCUGUAU
Molecule: ribosomal RNA, 101 nt
Filed under: Acanthosepion pharaonis
Lineage: Eukaryota; Metazoa; Mollusca; Cephalopoda; Sepiida; Sepiidae
Source: RNAcentral